Fundulus heteroclitus (mummichog) is the source of this 488-nucleotide long non-coding RNA. RefSeq lists it as uncharacterized. Lineage: Eukaryota; Metazoa; Chordata; Actinopteri; Cyprinodontiformes; Fundulidae. The transcript has 3 exons. The record is from RefSeq and is a predicted model, not a curated record.
ACUCAGCUGCACACUUGGAGCUAGCAGCUUGGAGGAACCGAGUCGUCACAAGAUGCUGGUCAACCAACCAGAAGCGAAGCUUAAAAAACGUUCGGCCAUCGAGACAUUCAUGUAAAGCAGAGACUCUGUGAGCAUGUGCCGGCGUGCUGCGGGGUUCUGCCGCAAUCCUGUGGGUGCUGUAGCGGACAUGAUGUGUAACAGGUGUAAGGAGGUGCAGAGGGCAGACGUCCGCAGCUGCUGCGCUGAGCGCCGGCCACGUCGUCUCCCAUCUGCCCCCGGUGUCCCACAAAGCCCGUAAGAGCCCGGCUAAAGGCGUUGAACCCGAGCUGAACGUCAGAGACAGGUCGUGCUGAAUGCUGGAAGGACUUUUAUUUCUGAGUAGCUGGGAAAGGAUCCUUGACCAGGAGUGCUUCACUGGAACUGAGAGAGGCUUACCUGCACAGAUUCCAGCAUGUGGCCUCAUGACAGCUUCACCAACAGAUGCUUUG